GACCUGGUGGUGUAGCUGGGUAACACACUUGCUUUAAUUAGCCUAGGAAGUAAUUGUUAUGCAAGGACUCCCUGUUCGAUUCGGGGUCAGGUCA
Molecule: non-coding RNA, 94 nt
Organism: Mycena metata
Lineage: Eukaryota; Fungi; Basidiomycota; Agaricomycetes; Agaricales; Mycenaceae
Source: the annotation of a GenBank genome assembly